UCUUUGCAGGUCUGCUUUAAUUACAAGCUACAAAUAGUGGCUCAUGGAUUCCUUUUCAUUCACUGGAUUUGUAGUGUUUCAUUGGAAUAGUCUUGGCCAAAGUUUUACUGUUCUUAUUUUUGAAACCAUUUAUUAGUUUGAGUAAGAUUCUUAAUUUGUUUGUGUUCUAUCGGAUUUUAAACUUUUCUGCUAUAUAUUGAGUUUUUUUUUUCAUUCAUGUUUUCAUUGAAUAAUUGGGUGUAAUGUUACCCAGAAAAUCCUAAGUACUUUGAUGGUAUCUCAAUUUAGAAGCAUUGUUAUACUUUUAUACCAAAAAUAGAGUCAUGCACUUACCAUUGGCAGGACAAGGGAUACUGGAAUAUAUAAUUUUUUGUUGGUAUAUUUCAAUUUGAUUGCUGCGUUCAAUAAAUAAAUAUAAGUGUUAGUGUCCAUUAAUAUAACUUGAUUCCUUACUAUAGCGAGAGUUAGUUAGGUGCAUAGCUUGACUGUAUUUGAAAACUCCUCAUUGGAUGGAUUUAAUUUUUUGAUUGUGAAAGUGAGCACUUAAAGUGUUUGUGAGGAAAUGUUUCAAUAUGAAAAAUUAAUGGCUUUGUGGUCUUAUUUUAUAUGAAAUAUAUCUACAAAUUUCAUGAUAUGUAUUAGUCUUUUUAUGUGUCUUGAAGGUAUUUUUGAAGACAUUAGAGUGCAAAAUCAAUAUCAUUUAUGUUACUGGAGAAAUUUCUAAUUAUUACAUGUUCAUGCAAAGUAGUGAGUUACAAGAAAAUGUAAGGAGACUAUUGUUUUUCCUCUUUGAAAGUUAAAGUUUAGAAUACAUUUUCUUACAAAUGUUAAAAGCUACAUUAUCCUCGAUGACAUUUAAUUCAAGGUUAUUAAUUUCCCCAAAUCUCAAACAUUAUGUUCUAAUAUUUCUCAUAUUUUUGUUUUGUUAUCAAUUUACUGAUUGAUAAAAUUUUCUGCAGAGGUUGAAGUUGGAUUUUGAGCUUAUAGCUUGCUAACCGAAGACUAGAUCAUGAUACUAUCAAACAAUAAUGACUAUAGGCAAGAUAUAUAGAGUAGGAGCAGCUUGCAUAUUUGUUAUAGAUAGAUGCAUCUUUCAAUAUAAGAGACUUUUCUUGGUUAAUCGAUGUUAGGAAGAAUCUCAAUGCUAGCUAAUGGCAAUCUAUCAUAAUCCAUUUACUUGAUAUUUCAUUGUUAUUCAAGUGCAUUGAAACUUUUUUAGCCAUAUGAUCUACUUUUGAUCGUUUUAUAUAUGAUUUGUAGCAUAACUAAAAUUGUUAAUAGCUAUGUAAAUUCAAAAAACACGGGGUGCACCGAAAGGGUUAUGUCUAUGCGUAUAUCAACUUUGUAAAUAUUAUAGAAUGAUUGUGUUAUGUAUCUUUAUUAUAAUUAAGUUCCAAUUGUUAUAUUUAGAAAAAACAGGGGGAGCGUCCCAUAAGGGUUAUUUUAUGAUGUAGUUGUAUUAUGUGAAUUAACAUAUGUCUAAAUUUGUUAUUGAAG
This 1497-nucleotide long non-coding RNA is filed under the name Trifolium pratense (red clover). RNAcentral describes it as "long non-coding RNA (TPRA_LNC012293)". The record is from RNAcentral. Lineage: Eukaryota; Viridiplantae; Streptophyta; Magnoliopsida; Fabales; Fabaceae.